Physella acuta is the source of this 601-nucleotide long non-coding RNA. RefSeq lists it as uncharacterized. The record is from RefSeq and is a predicted model, not a curated record. Lineage: Eukaryota; Metazoa; Mollusca; Gastropoda; Physidae.
AAACAUCUAAAUUAGCAAUGAUGACACUAUGGAACUUGCCCUCUCUUACAUGCUGUAUGGUGAGAAGUUGCCUUAUGUGUACUCAAGCCUGAGCUAAUGUGAAUUAAACAGCAUAAUGAAAUUUUGUAUUUUGCUAUGUCUGUUAUAUUGGGGAGUUAAGAUUAACAAUCCUUUCUUUUCCCUAUAGAAGAAAAAAAAUUAAUAAGUUGCGCCACAUUGUUUUUGUUUUAAAAUCUGUCUAUCUUAAAAAUUUACCUGCUUCCGUCCUGUUCAUUUUUAUUUAAGCUUGUCAUUUGCAUUUAUUGGUUUUGGCAAACACUACUUUAUUUAGCUAUGAUGACACAAUGGAACUUGCCCUCUCUUACAUGUUGUAUGGUGAGAAGUUGCCUUUUUGUGUACUCAAGCCUGAGCUAAUCUUGCAUCAUAUACAACUUUUUUUAAGAAUAAUACAUUUAGUUAAUAAUUAAUUUCCUUUUAUUUUAUUUCCCCAGGAACCACAAUCAUGCCUAAACAAAUCCAAGAAAUAAAGGAUUUCCUUUUAACAGCAAGGAGAAAAGAUGCCAAGUCUGUGAAAAUCAAGAAGAACAAGGACAAUGUGAAG